GGUGAACGCUGGCGGCGUGCCUAAUACAUGCAAGUCGAGCGGACGGACGAGAAGCUUGCUCUUCUGCUGUUAGCGGCGGACGGGCGGGUAACGAGUGGAUAACCUUCCUCUAAGACUGGGAUAACUUCGGGAGACCGGAGCUAAUACUGGAUAAUAUUUUCAACCGCAUGGUUCAAAAGUUAAAGACGCUUUUGCUGUCACUUAUAGAUGGAUCCGCGCUGGAUUAGCUAGUUGGUAAGGUAACGGCUUACCAAGGCAACGAUGCGUAGCCGACCUGAGAGGGUGAUCAGCCACACUGGAACUGAGACACGGUCCAGACUCCUACGGGAGGCAGCAGUAGGGAAUCUUCCACAAUGGGCGAAAGCCUGACGGAGCAACGCCGCGUGAGUGAUGAAGGUCUUCGGAUCGUAAAGCUCUGUUAUUAGGGAAGAACAGAUGUGUAAGUAACUGUGCACAUCUUGACGGUACCUAAUCAGAAAGCCACGGCUAACUACGUG
Molecule: ribosomal RNA, 497 nt
Filed under: uncultured bacterium
Lineage: Bacteria
Description: partial 16S ribosomal RNA
Rfam family: Bacterial small subunit ribosomal RNA
Source: RNAcentral